RNAcentral lists this ribosomal RNA (493 nucleotides) under uncultured bacterium. RNAcentral's name for it is "bacterial SSU rRNA". It matches the Rfam family "Bacterial small subunit ribosomal RNA", at positions 28 to 512 of the family's 1533-position model. The record is from RNAcentral.
GACGAACGCUGGCGGCGUGGAUUAGGCAUGCAAGUCGAACGGUAGGAUACCUUCGGGUAUCUGAGAGUGGCGAACGGGUGAGUAACACGUAGGUGAUCUACCCUCAAGAUUGGGACAACCCAGGGAAACUUGGGCUAGUACCGGAUGAAAGCAGCAGUGAUGUUGUUUGAAAGGUGGCGUAAGCUGCCGUUUGGGGAUGAGCCUGCGCUCUAUUAGUUAGUUGGCGGGGUAAAGGCCCACCAAGGCGAUGAUAGAUAGGCGGCCUUAACGGGUGGUCGCCCACACUGGGAUUGAGAUACGGCCCAGACUCCUACGGGAGGCAGCAGUCGAGAAUAGUCUACAAUGGCCGAAAGGCUGAUAGUGCGACGCCGCGUGAACGAAGAAGCCCUUCGGGGUGUAAAGUUCUUUUAUAUGUGAGCAGUGCUUUCUAUGUGAACAGCAUGGGGAGAGAGAUAUUAGCAUAUGAAUAAGCAACGGCUAACUCCGUGCCAGC